Molecule: unclassified non-coding RNA, 1589 nt
Filed under: Hevea brasiliensis (rubber tree)
Lineage: Eukaryota; Viridiplantae; Streptophyta; Magnoliopsida; Malpighiales; Euphorbiaceae
Source: RNAcentral
UUCGUCUCCAACCUCGUGAACUUUCUCCAAUACUUUUCUGUCUCCUGCACAAAGCAGAAGCUGCAGGUAAUCCCUUUUGGCUGAAGAGACAAACAAUACAUACUUGGUUCAACCAGCAGCAUGACUAUUCCUGCUCCUGCAGCUUCUGUUCCCACAUUGAAGAGUCCAGUCCUCAUUGCCGGGGCAACUGGUUUUAUCGGUCAUUUUGUAGCAGAUGCCUGCCUAGACUCCGGUCGACCUACUUAUGUUCUUGUCCGGUCGACUCCUAUCAGCCCAUCUGCGGCUAAAGUUCUUAGGUCUCUUGAGGAGAAAGGAGCCAUAGUCUUGCAUGGGUUGAUUAAUGACAAGGAAAAGAUGGAGGAAAUACUUAAAGAGCAUAAGAUUGAUGCGGUAAUAUCAGCAGUUGGUGGUGACGGCAUAUCGGACCAGCUUGGCCUAGUCCAGGCUAUUAAAGCUGUGGGCACCAUUAAGAGAUUUUUGCCUUCAGAAUUUGGGCAUGACGUGGAUAGGGCUGAUCCAGUGGAACCAGGUCUUCAAAUGUACAAUGAGAAGCGCAAGAUUAGACGCUCGAUCGAGGAGUACGGUAUACCAUACACGUACAUUUGUUGCAAUUCUAUUGCUUCCUGGCCCUACUUCGACAAUACUCACCCUUUGGAGGUUCUUCCUCCGCUGGAUAAGUUCCAAAUCUACGGUGAUGGCAAUAUGAAAGCAUACUUUGUUGCUGGUACCGACAUUGGAAAAUUUACAAUGAAAACUGUUGAUGAUGUUCGAACCCUCAACAAGUCAGUUCAUUUUCGACCAUCCUGCAAUUUUUACAACAUGAACGAACUUGCAGCUUUGUGGGAAAAGAAAAUUGGAAGGACACUCCCUCGAGCUACAGUUACAGAAGAAGAUUUACUUGCUGCAGCUGCAGAGAAUCGUAUACCAGAAAGUAUUGUUGCAUCAUUCACCCAUGAUAUUUUCAUCAAGGGUUGCCAAAUAAAUUCUUCAGUUGAUGGUCCUAAUGACGUCGAAGUGAGCUCUCUGUAUCCUGAUGAAGCAUUUCGUACAUUGGAUGAAUGCUUUGGUGACUUUGUUCUUGGAUUAAAUGAGAAGCAUGUCAGCAGCAGGGAUGAAAAUGCUCCUCCAAAUCCCAUGGUUGAACCAUUGAUAGUAACAGCAACCUGUGCCUAGACUUUUAAUUUUACAGUAAAUUGCUGAGUCUAGUUCUUGGGAGUUUGGUAUAAGAGGGCAGCAAAUGAGACGUCAAAACUGCUUAAAUUCUCUGGGAAGUCUGAUCUGUGUUUGGUAUGAUUCAACAAAAAAUUUAUGUAUUUGUUAUUUGUAGUGGCAGAGAAAAUUGGUCUUCAAAUGAACUUAGGAUUUAAGAUAAGUGAAUUGUACUGUACCCAGUAGCCAAUUAGACUUAUUUUUGUUGUGUUCUUCAACUCCCUGGAAAUUGGGUGUUUCAAGUUCCAAUUAUCCGUCAAAUAAUUGGGAUAGAUUUGAACGAGUGAAAUGAGAAUUUAAAACUGGGGAAAAUAUCCCUGUUGUGUACUCUAAAUUUAAUGAAUUUUCUAUAAGGAUAGCAAUUUAAGAACAAUAAAGCG